RNAcentral lists this ribosomal RNA (406 nucleotides) under uncultured bacterium. Its description in RNAcentral is "partial 16S ribosomal RNA". It matches the Rfam family "Bacterial small subunit ribosomal RNA", at positions 29 to 526 of the family's 1533-position model. The record is from RNAcentral.
AUUGAACGCUGGCGGCAGGCUUAACACAUGCAAGUCGAGCGAGCGGCGGACGGGUGAGUAAUGUCUGGGAAACUGCGUGAUGGAGGGGGAUAACUACUGGAAACGGUAGCUAAUACCGCAUACCAUCAGAUGUGCCCAGAUGGGAUUAGCUAGUAGGUGGGGUAAUGGCUCACCUAGGCGACGAUCCCUAGCUGGUCUGAGAGGAUGACAGGCCACAGUGGAACUGAGACACGGUCCAGCCUCCAACGGGAGGCAUGAGUGGGGAAUAUUGCACAAUGGGGGCAAGUCGUAGACAGCGAGGCCGCGUGUGUGAAGAAGGCGUUGGGGUUGUAAAGCACUUUCAGCGGGGAGGCGUUACUCGCAGAAGAAGCACCGGUUAACUCCGGGCCAGCAGCCGCGGUAAUAC